AUGCAUGAUAUGAUAAUGGAGAAAAUGGUAUGAUUGUGUGGAUUACAUCAUUGGAAAGAAUUAUUUUCUACAAUGGGCGAUGCUGUCCUGUGAUUUAUCACUGGCCAGGAAGGAUUUACUUCUGUUGCGCAUCCCCUUACAAUGUAAACCAUUUUAUAAACCUCCUUUCCUACUGGGGCAUAUUACUGGGUUAAGGAGGACCCUAAAAUGUGCAGUUUCAUUUCAUGAAUGGAUAUUUAUGUGGCUGGAGUAUUUGGAAGUAAAGUAAAAGUUGAAUGGUUUCUUUUCCUCCCUGUCUUGUAUCGAGUUGAGAGUGAUAGUGUUGCGUUAUAUUGCCGAAACAUUACUUUUGUGGAGAGAAAUAAACUGAAAACCGAUACUACUUGAAUGCCACUGGUCAGCCUUGCUGUACAAUCAGCUGUUCCAACGUUUAACCCGGGAAUGCAAGGUUUAGCCAACAUCUUCUAACCCCAUCGCCAGAAUAACGCGUCAAAGGGGUUUUUCAUGGGGGGGAGAAUUGCUUUCUGAGAAAAAUAUCUCUGAUUUAGUCUACAUUGAAAAACUUAAUUUAAAGUCUAUCGUGCAUUUAUGGUAGACCCCCUCCAGUGCCCUGAGUGCCAGCACUUGUGUCUCAUAAAAUCAAGGAAGAGUGCCAUUCUUUGAGGUCUUUAACAGUUAAUAGUAGAUUAUUAUCAGGAGUUAAUCGUACGCACACAUUUUCAGUAAAAAUGGGCCCCAAAUGUUUAGAUAUGGCCAUUGGCCCACAAUUGCGUAAGGCUUGCACUUUCGGCUAGCCAAAUUCUAACAACCUUGCUUGCUAGCAAAACAGAGACCACAUGCUUUUGGCAGAGCAGCAGUCAUCUUCAGUCUAAUGCAUUUAUAAUGUCACUCUAUAAACAACAAACUUAUCAUGCUCAGAAAAACAACGCUGUUUUAAAAAUAAUGUUUAUUUUAAUUAUGAAUGAUCUCGGGAUCUGUACACAGUGACAUUACCUUGACUUCGCAAGGUGAUGUAAGUUGCAAGUGACUGGUAAAGGGCUGCGCAUCGGAGCCAAGUUCUGCCGAUAGCAAUAGUUUGUAAAACAUCCUAUCAGUGCUGAUUAAUUGGCCAAAGGAUUAAUUGGUUGACCCCUAUUCUAUAUUCAAUGUGCAAUUAAUAUGUAGCGGGAUGUUAGAGCAUCCAGCUUGCAAUGUCAGUGUUGUUCUUUUACCACAAGUACACAAUGUUUACACUCAAGAUGCUGGAUUUGUCUCCUAUAUGACUAAAAUGUGACAAUGAUUAACUGCUCUUUAUUCUAUUGCCCUAUAGGUAGCAAAACCUGGAGUAGAUUUAGAUCACACUGAGCCAGGACCUGAGCUUCAAGAGAGAUUUAAAACUUGGACUGGGGCAGGGUAUAAGGAGUGUUUCAGGGAUGUUUCUUGAGACUGUACUUAACUGUGUGUAGGAGCCCCUUCAUAACGGGACAGGAAUCCACCCUUCAUAACGGGACAGGAAUCCACCCUUCAUAACGGGACAGGAAUCCACCCUUCAUAACGGGACAGGAAUCCACCCUUCAUAACGGGACAGGAAUCCACCCUUCAUAACGGGACAGGAAUCCACCCUUCAUAACGGGACAGGAAUCCACCCUUCAUAACGGGACAGGAAUCCACCCUUCAUAACGGGACAGGAAUCCACCCUUCAUAACGGGACAGGAAUCCACUGUUGUUCUGAGCGCAGAUCCGAUGGUUCAAAGCCAGCCACUGAAACAACAGCCAAACUUUGCAUUGACAAUACACCACGCCAAUUCUCUGAAAUAGUCAGUUGAACAAGCAUUUGAUUUCUAUGCACACACUUGUGCACAUGUAUCACUUUAAAUUGUCUAAUGGAUGUCAUUGGAAAGACAUGUUG
Long non-coding RNA from Esox lucius (northern pike), 1888 nucleotides. RefSeq lists it as uncharacterized. The transcript is spliced from 3 exons. NCBI's taxonomy places the organism in Eukaryota, Metazoa, Chordata, Actinopteri, Esociformes, Esocidae. The record is from RefSeq and is a predicted model, not a curated record.